AACAACAUACACCAAGCACCACAUAACACAAGAAUGAAACAAAAGAUAAUACAAACAUAGUAUAAUCCAAACUUAGUACGGAAUGGAAAGACGGAUAAAACAUAAAAAGCCAACAGACUUAGCAUAGUCUUAAAAGAAACUAGAAAUGUACUAACUUAAAACCAUAAACUAGUGAACAACAAAAAAGAAAUGGCCAACUCAAUCACUUU
This 209-nucleotide long non-coding RNA is filed under the name Lathyrus oleraceus (garden pea). Its description in RNAcentral is "Pisum sativum (pea) long non-coding RNA (PSAT_LNC030138)". The record is from RNAcentral. Lineage: Eukaryota; Viridiplantae; Streptophyta; Magnoliopsida; Fabales; Fabaceae.